GACAGAGGUGCCGAGCGUUAGGCGGAAUCACUGGGCUUAAAGCGUGUGUAGGCGGGCCGUUAAGUACCUUGUGAAAUCCCCCGGCUCAACCGGGGAACGGCUGGGUAUACUGGCGGUCUUGAGCCACCUAGGGGCGAGCGGAACAAGCGGUGGAGCGGUGAAAUGCGUAGAUAUCGCUUGGAACGCCAAUGGUGAAAACAGGUAGCUGGGAGUGUGCUGACACUGAGACACGAAAGCCAGGGGAGCGAACGGG
RNAcentral lists this ribosomal RNA (253 nucleotides) under uncultured bacterium. RNAcentral describes it as "partial 16S ribosomal RNA". It matches the Rfam family "Bacterial small subunit ribosomal RNA", at positions 524 to 776 of the family's 1533-position model. The record is from RNAcentral.